RNAcentral lists this ribosomal RNA (196 nucleotides) under uncultured bacterium. RNAcentral's name for it is "partial 16S ribosomal RNA". It matches the Rfam family "Bacterial small subunit ribosomal RNA", at positions 335 to 524 of the family's 1533-position model. The record is from RNAcentral.
ACUCCUACGGAAGGCAGCAGUGGGGAAUAUUGGACAAUGGGCGAAAGCCUGAUCCAGCCAUGCCGCGUGAGUGAUGAAGGCCUUCGGGUCGUAAAGCUCUGUGGGGAGGGACGAAAAAGCGUGACCUAAUACGUCUCGCCUUGACGGUACCUCCUUAGCAAGCACCGGCUAACUCCGUGCCAGCAGCCGCGGUAAU